Erythranthe guttata (spotted monkey flower) is the source of this 355-nucleotide non-coding RNA. Lineage: Eukaryota; Viridiplantae; Streptophyta; Magnoliopsida; Lamiales; Phrymaceae. The record is from RefSeq and is a predicted model, not a curated record.
UGCAAAUCCCAAUGCUUUCAAUCCUCUUGAUAAAUACCGAAUAAGUCAUCUUAUGCUCAAUGAUGAUAUCCAGAGUACAUCGUCUGUAGUUCUUGCUGGGAAGAUUUCACCUUUGAGAUUACUGGCUUGAACUUUAGCACAUCAAUAUUUUCUAAUUCCCGGAUGUCGGAGAAUUUGCGUCGCACUAUUAUCGGAGCUCUACUUUUGUAAAUGAGAUCAUAUGUACAUUGGUUGUAUCUCAUUUGGUUCUAAGUUAUGACUUAUAAGUUUUUUGGAAUGGAAAAUUGUGUAUAUUUUCACUUAUUUGGGCUUCUUAUCAGCUUUUACAUUGAUGGAAAUAUAUUUAAAUAUUUUG